GCGGAUGAUAAUUCUUCACUACCAGGAUUUGGCGAUUAUGUCCCUUAAUCCCUAGUCACACUUUCAAAGGAGAGGAAUAUAUAAGGUAUUCUGAAAACCAACAAAAUAGAACCGAUGUCCAAUUCCAUUAUUCCAUGCCUCCGACCCUCUGGGGACGAGCGCUUUUAUUAGACCAAAACCAAUCGGACCUCGAGUCUAUAUUAUGUAGUGAAUCUGUAUAACUCUGUGCUGAUGGCAGGACUCGUUCCGACGACUUAUCUUUCGAGUGUCUGCCUUAUCAGCUGCCUAUGUUUGGUUACACGCUUACCAAGGUCGUAACGGGUGAUGGGAAAUCAGGGUUGGAUUCCUGAGAGGGAGCCUGAGAAACGGAAUCACAUUCAAGGAAGGCA
RNAcentral lists this non-coding RNA (389 nucleotides) under Stegodyphus mimosarum. Its description in RNAcentral is "Eukaryotic small subunit ribosomal RNA". It matches the Rfam family "Eukaryotic small subunit ribosomal RNA", at positions 120 to 427 of the family's 1831-position model. Lineage: Eukaryota; Metazoa; Arthropoda; Arachnida; Araneae; Eresidae. The record is from Rfam by way of RNAcentral.